GACGAACGCUGGCGGCGUGCCUAAUACAUGCAAGUAGAACGCACAGUUUAUACCGUAGCUUGCUACACCAUAGACUGUGAGUUGCGAACGGGUGAGUAACGCGUAGGUAACCUGCCUGGUAGCGGGGGAUAACUAUUGGAAACGAUAGCUAAUACCGCAUAAUAUUAAUUAUUGCAUGAUAAUUAAUUGAAAGGUGCAAUUGCACCACUACCAGAUGGACCUGCGUUGUAUUAGCUAGUAGGUGAGGUAACGGCUCACCUAGGCGACGAUACAUAGCCGACCUGAGAGGGUGAUCGGCCACACUGGGACUGAGACACGGCCCAGACGCCUACGGGAGGCAGCAGUAGGGAAUCUUCGGCAAUGGACGAAAGUCUGACCGAGCAACGCCGCGUGAGUGAAGAAGGGUAUCGGAUCGUAAAGCUCUGUUGUAAGAGAAGAACGGGUGUGAGAGUGGAAAGUUCACACUGUGACGGUAUCUUACCAGAAAGGGACGGCUAACUACGUG
Molecule: ribosomal RNA, 505 nt
Filed under: uncultured bacterium
Lineage: Bacteria
Description: partial 16S ribosomal RNA
Rfam family: Bacterial small subunit ribosomal RNA
Source: RNAcentral